Molecule: ribosomal RNA, 63 nt
Filed under: uncultured bacterium
Lineage: Bacteria
Description: partial 16S ribosomal RNA
Source: RNAcentral
UGGGUUUGACAUCUCGGGGAUUUUUAUGAAAGUGAAAAGUGCCUAGGGGAGGAACUCGAAGAC